AGCAGUCAUGGCUGGCGUGACGAACACAUGCAAGUCGAGGGGUAUAAUUUAGCUUGCUAGAUUAGAGACCGGCGCACGGGUGCGUAACGCGUAUGCAAUCUGCCUUGUACAAAGGGAUAGCCCAGAGAAAUUUGGAUUAAUACCUUAUAGUAUGUAAGAGUGGCAUCACUUUUAUAUUAAAGAUUUAUCGGUACAAGAUGAGCAUGCGUCCCAUUAGCUAGAUGGUAAGGUAACGGCUUACCAUGGCAACGAUAGGUAGGGGGUCUGAGAGGAUUAUCCCCCACACUGGUACUGAGACACGGACCAGACUCCUACGGGAGGCAGCAGUGAGGAAUAUUGGUCAAUGGGCGCAAGCCUGAACCAGCCAUGCCGCGUGCAGGAUGACUGCCCUAUGGGUUGUAAACUGCUUUUAUACAGGAAGAAACAGUCCCUCGUGAGGGGCCUUGACGGUACUGUAAGAAUAAGCACCGGCUAACUCCGUGCCAGCAGCCGCGGUAAUACGGAGGGUGCAAGCGUUAUCCGGAAUCAUUGGGUUUAAAGGGUCCGCAGGCGGUCAAUUAAGCCAGAGGUGAAAUCCUACAGCUUAACUGUAGAACUGCCUUUGAUACUGGUUGACUUGAGUUAUACGGAAGUAGGUAGAAUGUGUAGUGUAGCGGUGAAAUGCAUAUAUAUUACGCAGAAUACCGAUUGCGAAGGCAGCCUACUACGUAUAUACUGACGCUCAUGGACGAAAGCGUGGGGGAGCGAACAGGAUUAGAUACCCUGGUAGUCCACGCCGUAAACGAUGGACACUAGUUGUUGGCGCAAGCUCAGUGACUAAGCGAAAGUGAUAAGUGUCCCACCUGGGAGUACGAUCGCAGAUUGAACUCAGAUGAAUUGACGGAAGG
Molecule: ribosomal RNA, 887 nt
Filed under: uncultured bacterium
Lineage: Bacteria
Description: bacterial SSU rRNA
Rfam family: Bacterial small subunit ribosomal RNA
Source: RNAcentral